UGCGGAAGGAUCAUUACUGAUUUGCUUAAUUGCACCACAUGUGUUUUUCUUUGAAACAAACUUGCUUUGGCGGUGGGCCCAGCCUGCCGCCAGAGGUCUAAACUUACAACCAAUUUUUUAUCAACUUGUCACACCAGAUUAUUACUAAUAGUCAAAACUUUCAACAACGGAUCUCUUGGUUCUCGCAUCGAUGAAGAACGCAGCGAAAUGCGAUACGUAAUAUGAAUUGCAGAUAUUCGUGAAUCAUCGAAUCUUUGAACGCACAUUGCGCCCUCUGGUAUUCCGGAGGGCAUGCCUGUUUGAGCGUCGUUUCUCCCUCAAACCGCUGGGUUUGGUGUUGAGCAAUACGACUUGGGUUUGCUUGAAAGACGGUAGUGGUAAGGCGGGAUCGCUUUGACAAUGGCUUAGGUCUAACCAAAAACAUUGCUUGCGGCGGCAACGUCUACCACGUAUAUCUUCAAACUUUGACCUCAAAUCAGGUAGG
Molecule: unclassified non-coding RNA, 484 nt
Filed under: Candida albicans
Lineage: Eukaryota; Fungi; Ascomycota; Pichiomycetes; Serinales; Debaryomycetaceae
Description: sequence contains 18S rRNA gene, ITS1, 5.8S rRNA gene, ITS2, 28S rRNA gene
Rfam family: 5.8S ribosomal RNA (bases 156-309)
Source: RNAcentral